RNAcentral lists this ribosomal RNA (245 nucleotides) under uncultured bacterium. Its description in RNAcentral is "partial 16S ribosomal RNA". It matches the Rfam family "Bacterial small subunit ribosomal RNA", at positions 524 to 768 of the family's 1533-position model. The record is from RNAcentral.
UACGGAGGGUGCAAGCGUUAUCCGGAUUUAUUGGGUUUAAAGGGUGCGUAGGCGGCAUUUUAAGUCAGUGGUGAAAUCCUGCAGCUUAACUGUAGAUGUGCCAUUGAAACUGAAGUGCUUGAGUGAUCUUGAGGUAGGCGGAAUGUGUAGUGUAGCGGUGAAAUGCUUAGAUAUUACACAGAACACCCAUUGCGAAGGCAGCUUACUAAGGAUUAACUGACGCUGAUGCACGAAAGCGUGGGGAU